Molecule: ribosomal RNA, 402 nt
Filed under: uncultured Hyphomicrobium sp.
Lineage: Bacteria; Pseudomonadati; Pseudomonadota; Alphaproteobacteria; Hyphomicrobiales; Hyphomicrobiaceae
Description: bacterial SSU rRNA
Rfam family: Bacterial small subunit ribosomal RNA
Source: RNAcentral
UGGGGAAUCUUGGACAAUGGGCGCAAGCCUGAUCCAGCCAUGCCGCGUGAGUGAAGAAGGCCUUAGGGUUGUAAAGCUCUUUUGCCGGGGACGAUAAUGACGGUACCCGGAGAAUAAGUCCCGGCUAACUUCGUGCCAGCAGCCGCGGUAAUACGAAGGGGACUAGCGUUGUUCGGAAUUACUGGGCGUAAAGCGCACGUAGGCGGAUUGCUAAGUCAGGGGUGAAAUCCCGGGGCUCAACCUCGGAACUGCCUUUGAUACUGACAAUCUAGAGUCCGAUAGAGGUGGGUGGAAUUCCUAGUGUAGAGGUGAAAUUCGUAGAUAUUAGGAAGAACACCGGUGGCGAAGGCGGCCCACUGGAUCGGUACUGACGCUGAGGUGCGAAAGCGUGGGGAGCAAACA